UACGUAGGUGGCAAGCGUUGUCCGGAAUUAUUGGGCGUAAAGCGCGCGCAGGCGGUCCUUUAAGUCUGAUGUGAAAGCCCACGGCUCAACCGUGGAGGGUCAUUGGAAACUGAGGGACUUGAGUGCAGAAGAGGAAAGCGGAAUUCCACGUGUAGCGGUGAAAUGCGUAGAGAUGUGGAGGAACACCAGUGGCGAAGGCGGCUUUCUGGUCUGUAACUGACGCUGAGGCGCGAAAGCGUGGGGAGCAAACAGG
This 253-nucleotide ribosomal RNA is filed under the name uncultured bacterium. RNAcentral describes it as "partial 16S ribosomal RNA". It matches the Rfam family "Bacterial small subunit ribosomal RNA", at positions 524 to 776 of the family's 1533-position model. The record is from RNAcentral.